CUCGGAGUUUGAUCCUGGCUCAGAUUGAACGCUGGCGGCAUGCUUUACACAUGCAAGUCGAACGGUAGAGGGGGCAACCCCCUCGAGAGUGGCGAACGGGUGAGUAAUAUAUCGGAACGUGCCCAGUCGUGGGGGAUAACGUAGUGAAAAUUACGCUAAUACCGCAUACGAUCUAAGGAUGAAAGCGGGGGAUCGCAAGACCUCGCGCGAUUGGAGCGGCCGAUAUCAGAUUAGGUAGUUGGUAGGGUAAAGGCCUACCAAGCCAACGAUCUGUAGCUGGUCUGAGAGACGACCAGCCACACUGGAACUGAGACACGGUCCAGA
This 324-nucleotide ribosomal RNA is filed under the name uncultured Comamonadaceae bacterium. RNAcentral describes it as "bacterial SSU rRNA". It matches the Rfam family "Bacterial small subunit ribosomal RNA", at positions 1 to 335 of the family's 1533-position model. The record is from RNAcentral. Lineage: Bacteria; Pseudomonadati; Pseudomonadota; Betaproteobacteria; Burkholderiales; Comamonadaceae.